RNAcentral lists this ribosomal RNA (524 nucleotides) under Oncotophasma sp. RNAcentral describes it as "partial 16S ribosomal RNA". It matches the Rfam family "Bacterial large subunit ribosomal RNA", at positions 1811 to 2608 of the family's 2925-position model. Lineage: Eukaryota; Metazoa; Arthropoda; Insecta; Phasmatodea; Diapheromeridae. The record is from RNAcentral.
AAACAUCUUUUCUUGUAAUUAUAUGAAAUAUGUCCUGCCCAAUGAUUUUAUUUAAUGGCCGCGGUAUUUUGACCGUGCAAAGGUAGCAUAAUCAUUAGUUUAUUAAUUGUAAGCUUGUAUGAAUGGUUUGACGAGAUAUUGACUGUCUCAUUAAUGAUAAUUAGAAUUUAAAUUUUAAGUUAAAAUGCUUAAGUUUAUUUGUAGGACGAGAAGACCCUAUAGAUCUUUAAUUAAUUAUUUUAUUAUUUGUUUGGUUUAUUAUUUGAUUUUAAUAAUAUUAAUUUUUGUUGGGGUGACAUAUGGAUAUAAUUAACUCUUAUUUAUAUUAAACAUUUAUAUAUGCUUGUUUUGACCUUUUAUUAUUGAUUAUAAGAUAUAGAUACCUUAGGGAUAACAGCGUAAUCUUCUUUAAGAGUUCUUAUCAACAAGAAGGAUUGCGACCUCGAUGUUGGAUUAAGGUUAUAUUUGGGUGCAGGUGUUCAAAUGUUAGGUCUGUUCGACCUUUAAAAUCUUACAUGAUCUGA